GGCUCGGUAGCGGAUGUUUCCGCGCCUGCCCAAAAUAUGAAGUCUGUUUGUGGAUUGCCGGCAAAUCCCGCCUGUUCGAAUCAGGCCCGAGCCA
Molecule: non-coding RNA, 94 nt
Organism: Mycena rebaudengoi
Lineage: Eukaryota; Fungi; Basidiomycota; Agaricomycetes; Agaricales; Mycenaceae
Source: the annotation of a GenBank genome assembly